GCUAAACGCGAAGAACCUUACCUGGCCUUGACAUGUCUGGAAUCCCGAAGAGAUUUGGGAGUGCCGCAAGGAACCAGAACACAGGUGCUGCAUGGCUGUCGUCAGCUCGUGUCGUGAGAUGUUGGGUUAAGUCCCGCAACGAGCGCAACCCUUGUCCUUAGUUGCCAUCAUUAAGUUGGGAACUCUAAGGAGACCGCCGGUGACAAACCGGAGGAAGGUGGGGAUGACGUCAAGUCAUCAUGGCCUUUAUGGCCAGGGCUACACACGUGCUACAAUGGCAGGUACAGAGGGAAGCCAACCGGCGACGGGGAGCUAAUCCCAGAAAGCCUGUCUUAGUCCGGAUUGCAGUCUGCAACUCGACUGCAUGAAGUUGGAAUCGCUAGUAAUCGCAGAUCAGCAUUGCUGCGGUGAAUACGUUCCCGGGUCUUGUACACACCG
RNAcentral lists this ribosomal RNA (438 nucleotides) under uncultured bacterium. RNAcentral describes it as "bacterial SSU rRNA". It matches the Rfam family "Bacterial small subunit ribosomal RNA", at positions 954 to 1392 of the family's 1533-position model. The record is from RNAcentral.